This 467-nucleotide ribosomal RNA is filed under the name uncultured bacterium. Its description in RNAcentral is "partial 16S ribosomal RNA". It matches the Rfam family "Bacterial small subunit ribosomal RNA", at positions 28 to 507 of the family's 1533-position model. The record is from RNAcentral.
GACGAACGCUGGCGGCGUGCUUAACACAUGCAAGUCGAACGGAAAGGCCCUGCUUUUGUGGGGUGCUCGAGUGGCGAACGGGUGAGUAACACGUGAGUAACCUGCCCUUGACUUUGGGAUAACUUCAGGAAACUGGGGCUAAUACCGGAUAGGAGCUCCUGCUGCAUGGUUUGUGUUUGUAAGAUUCGCCGGUUGGGGACUGACUCGCGGUUUAUCAUUUUGUUGGUGGGGUAGUGGGUUAAAGAGGCUUUGAGGGGUUGCUGGCUGGCGAGGGUGCCCGGCCACAUGGGGACUGAGAGACGGCCGAGACGCAUCCGGGAGGAAGGAGUGGGGAAUAUCGCACAAUGGGCGGAAGCGUGAAGAAGAACGCCGCGUGCGGGAUGACGGCCUUCGGGUUGUAACCCGCUUUCGCCUGUGAAGAAGCGUAAGUGACGGUAAUGGGUAAAGAAGCACCGGCUAACUACGUG